GAGUCCUUUAAGCUGUGUUAAGAGUUUUAUAUGUCCUGAUGGCAGGGGAAUCCUAUGACGAAUGAGGGAAACCCAUGCGUCUGUCCUCUGCGUGGCAUUUAUUCACAGCUUAGAGAAAACAUUGGUCACGGGGGAAAAGACAACAACCUAUUCGCCAGGGGAGACUAUUUGAGUCUCAAAGGGGAAAUUGAAAAAAUACAACCAGUGAAGAUGACCGAUGUGCAAGGCAGCCAUGUGCCCAUCCUGGACCAAAAGCUGCUGAAGUUUCUCUCUGGAGAGACGAGGCUCAGUGUGAGCUCUGUAUCAAAGACGAGGUGGAGCUCACACACCUCAAAGUCUUUCUUUUGGGGAAUGGAGGAGGAAAACUGAAGUCCUCAUCCCACACAACUGUGAAGGCAAAUCUUCGGCGAGUACAGACAGUGAAAUUCAGACAGUGAGCCAGAGGAGGGUAUAAAGAGGAAAUACCACCAUCUCUCCACUUGUCCAGCACCAUCUAUUCCUCCACCUACUCCUGACAUACCAUCAAAUGGCACUUGCCAGACUUCUUCCACUGAAUCAUUUUAAUUUGCAGAAGUCAAUGAGAGUGACAGUGAAGAUUCAUGUGAAGAUGAGCAACAUCUGGAUGAAUGAAAGUUAAAGUCUGAAAUGAUAUUUAAUUCAAUGUGCUUUAUUUAAAAACACAUUUCAAUAGAAAAAUACAAAAGCUUGCUGCUCUUUUAAAUGUUUAUUUCAAAAGAUCAAGACAUCAUGUUCUUAGUUAUGUUAAAUUUGCAUGACAAGGUGGCUUGGUUUGUAAGAGACCAGUUAUUUCCAUGCUGCUUAUAAAUGGUAAUGUAAGAGGUUGUUUGGCUGGUCAUUGUUUGCUUGAACUAUUAUUUUAAAAUGCAUGAAAUAAGCCAUUUUUCCCCCUCCAAAUUCUUAUUUACAGGUGAACCCAUGGAAACCAUACUGUGGUCACUGCAAACAAAGCACCUAUCAGGCCGAACUAUGUGAAAAAGCCAUGGGCAAAGCAAGAAGUGGAAGCAGUUUUCAGGCACUUUAAAACUCACAUAAUCAAGGGGCAUCUUGCCUCUCUAAAGGAAUGCCAUUCGUGCAAAAACGCAGAGAGAAAAAUCCUGCAGGGACGAAUGAUCCAAAAUAUCAGGGACCGAAACAAAGGAGUGUGUUUACAGCGAAAAAAUGCAUUGCAAGACUUCUGAUCUAUUCAGAAAAACUUUGAAAGGAAAGAGAACUGACACAGCGGGCAUAUUGAUAAUUAGAAUGAAUUGAUUUUCAUUUAAUUGUCAGCACAUUAGCCAAGAGUUUUACAAUUUUAAAUAAAUAAACAAUAAACAAAUAAAUAAAAAAUAGGAAAUUAAAGGAAUAAAUGACUUGACAAAACAGAUAACUCAUUUUCAAUGAUAAUUUAAUCCUGAAUUAAUUUUUGUAUUACCCUUUUCUUUCCUUUAUUAUUAUAUGCAAUUUUACAUAUUCGUUUUAGAUAGUCCUUGUAUAGCUACAGUGAAUCAUUGGUUAAGAGGUCACACAUAGAAGCGUCAACUGUCAGAUCUAAUAGAGGGAUAGAGAUCAGAGUUUGCUACGAGAUGUCAAGUCAACUGGAGAGUUCAAAGUUAUUUCUAGGUUGAUGACACCUAGAAACCCAGAAUCCCUGUGUUUAUUUUAUAAUCACAGAGAACUUCUUGACUCCCAAAAGCAUUGUGAGCCAAAGUUUCAUAAAAAAUAUAAAUAAAAAAACUAUUCAAAAGGGUCUCUGUGGUCUACUUUGGCUUACGAUGUGACGCGGCCCUGGAGUAUAAUAAAUCUCAUAUAGAUUU
This is a long non-coding RNA of Ctenopharyngodon idella (grass carp), 1814 nucleotides long. RefSeq lists it as uncharacterized. Lineage: Eukaryota; Metazoa; Chordata; Actinopteri; Cypriniformes; Xenocyprididae. The transcript has 5 exons. The record is from RefSeq and is a predicted model, not a curated record.